CCCGAUCCCGAAGCCCCGGUCCCCAGGACCGGGGCUUCGGCGUUCACCGGCCUUCGCCGCCUCCCCGCCCCCUCUGUCGACGUUUUCGCAGGUC
This 94-nucleotide transfer RNA is filed under the name Streptomyces hygroscopicus subsp. jinggangensis TL01. RNAcentral's name for it is "tRNA-Ser". The record is from RNAcentral. Lineage: Bacteria; Bacillati; Actinomycetota; Actinomycetes; Kitasatosporales; Streptomycetaceae.